Molecule: non-coding RNA, 97 nt
Organism: Cerioporus squamosus
Lineage: Eukaryota; Fungi; Basidiomycota; Agaricomycetes; Polyporales; Polyporaceae
Source: the annotation of a GenBank genome assembly
ACACUGAUGGUGAAACGGUAUCAUGCUUGCCUUCCAUGCAGGCCCAUUGAAUGUAGCCAGCUAGCAAGCGGCGUGGGUUCGACUCCCGCUCAGUGUA